Molecule: ribosomal RNA, 406 nt
Filed under: uncultured bacterium
Lineage: Bacteria
Description: partial 16S ribosomal RNA
Rfam family: Bacterial small subunit ribosomal RNA
Source: RNAcentral
AUUGAACGCUGGCGGCAGGCCUAACACAUGCAAGUCGAACGAGUGGCGGACGGGUGAGUAAUGUCUGGGAAACUGCCCGAUGGAGGGGGAUAACUACUGGAAACGGUAGCUAAUACCGCAUACCAUCGGAUGUGCCCAGAUGGGAUUAGCUUGUAGGUGAGGUAACGGCUCACCUAGGCGACGAUCCCUAGCUGGUCUGAGAGGAUGACCAGCCAAAGUGGAACUGAGACACGGUGCAGACUCCUACGGGAGGCAGCAGUGGGGAAUAUGGCACAAUGGGCGCAAGCCGGAGGCAGCAAGGCCGCGGGGAGGAAGAAGGCCUUCGGGUGGGAAAGUACUUUAAGCGGGGAGGCGUGACCCGCAGAAGAAGCACCGGCUAACUCCGUGCCAGAAGCCGCGGUAAUUC